This 327-nucleotide ribosomal RNA is filed under the name uncultured bacterium. Its description in RNAcentral is "bacterial SSU rRNA". It matches the Rfam family "Bacterial small subunit ribosomal RNA", at positions 28 to 335 of the family's 1533-position model. The record is from RNAcentral.
GACGAACGCUGGCGGCGUGCCUAAUACAUGCAAGUCGAACGCUCUUUUCUAUGGAAGCUUGCUUCCACUGGGAAGAUAGUGGCGGACGGGUGAGUAACACGUGGGUAACCUGCCCAUAAGAGGGGGAUAACAUCCGGAAACGGGUGCUAAUACCGCAUAGGUUUCUUGGUCGCAUGAUCGAGAAAGGAAAGACGGCCUUUGUGCUGUCGCUUAUGGAUGGGCCCGCGCCUGAUUAGCUAGUUGGUGAGGUAAUAGCUCACCAAGGCGACGAUCAGUAGCCGAUCUGAGAGGAUGACCGGCCACACUGGAACUGAGACACGGUCCAGA